AAACCAUGCAUCAAGCAUUUUCUAAUUCAUUCCUUGAAAUGCUCCCAUGCUUUAUAUAAUGAAUCAUCGUCUGAUUGCCUGAACAAUGUAAUGUCGUUCCUGAGCUU
Molecule: non-coding RNA, 107 nt
Organism: Gossypium hirsutum (cotton)
Lineage: Eukaryota; Viridiplantae; Streptophyta; Magnoliopsida; Malvales; Malvaceae
Source: Rfam